Molecule: long non-coding RNA, 1708 nt
Filed under: Arabidopsis thaliana (thale cress)
Lineage: Eukaryota; Viridiplantae; Streptophyta; Magnoliopsida; Brassicales; Brassicaceae
Description: potential natural antisense gene, locus overlaps with AT3G03700 (AT3G03702)
Source: RNAcentral
GUUUUUCUUUACAUGUAUGUAGCGAGACUCCUUCAUGACUCAACAAUUGUUAUAACUAUCUUCUUCUCUGUCUCUACCCACCUCAAGCUCCCUGUUAUCUCGGUGAGCACUUAACAUUUGAAGACGCUGAAUACGUUGUGGAAUUGUUCCAUCAAAUCUCAUGCUCUGAGGAUCUUCAGAAUAAGCUACAUAGUAAGCCAAUACACAUGCCUGUAGCCACGCCAAACCUACCCUUCCCUGAAAACACUCAAAACCAGUUAAUGAAGAGACAGCUCCAACAGAAACAGCACUGAGAAAACAGAAGGAGCUAGUGAGAUCCGAGUCAAUCAGUUUCUCCAACCCUGUUGUGCUUCUGAACUUCUUCCAGGUAUCACUCGAAGCCUCCAUGAAUCCUUUAUCAUAGGUUCCAACAUGUACAAAGCCCCAUCUGUUUCCAAGUGUAAUGAGUUUGUUAGCAAUGGUAGAGAAGCAAUCAGCACCUGAAUACAUGACCUCAUCGCUGCUCCCUGACAUUAGAUUAACACUUCUUAUUGAUCCUCUUAUGAAUACGAUGAUUGGAACAAGCGUCGAGCCAACGCAGAUGCUCCCAGUCAAGUGUUUCAUAGUGAUGCGGAAAGCAUUCCAAGCGUCCAUAUCUUCUCCAUGUGCAAAGUUUACAUAUCUCGCCCGUGAAAUCGCAACUUGUUGAACAUUCUUGAUAACUUGCAUCGUCCAUGCUAAGCUUAUUAUGAUUACGGAUAUGAACAAGAUAUCAAGAUUUGUUCUAGUGGAAGUUGCUCCUCCAAUUCCAGUCACCAAGAAACCAGAGUAAACGACACUGACUAUGAUUGAUAAGCAGACUACUUCUCUGGUUCUUGCAGGUGGAAAUGCUGUGGCAAGUGAUAAUAUUUUAUCGGUGUACUCAAGCCUCGGAGUAAUCCAGCAACCAUAGAGGGACUGAGUAAUGGCGAAAAGGACAAACACUGCACCUAUACCUGCAUCUACCGCUGAGCCAAUCAAAACAAGCAAGAUUCCUACCGAGCAGGUGAGUAUUGGACUAAGCCAGAACGUUGCUUUGACUGCUCUUGAUGGAUUGUAGAUAAAGAUGCAUUGCCAUGCUAAAGAUGCAAUUCCUGAGACAGCAACAGAUGCUAGUAAAGGAGGGUACCAUUUCUUGAGGUGGAAAUGGUGUGUACUUGCUGAGAUGAGACCGCGAAUGGUGAGAACGAUCACCAAAAGUGAGAUUAAGGUUAUUCAAAGCUGGUUAAUGUGAAUUCGUUAUGAACAUGCAAGUAAAAAGCACCAUGAAGAAAACAAGAAGAGACAAAAGAGAAGCUGGGUCUUGGUUUUGUUCUUGAGUCAAGAAAUAGUGAUGGAAGUCAACGAGAGAGGAUCAAAACAGAUAGCAUAAAGUAGAAAGCAAAACAGAACCCAGAGAGAGAGAAGAUACAGAGAUCAAGGUGUUUCCUGAUUCUUGAUUCAAAAGAGAGAAAUACCUUGAAGGCGAUUGGAGAAGAAGAAGGAGGAAGAGGAGACAUUAUUCUUGGUUCUUGAAUCUGCACGCGAGAGGCAUGACCGUUGCUUGUUGGUGUAGGCAUAGAUGCGUUGUAUUUGCCAGGAGUGUUCCUUGAAUCCCAAGUUCCACUUAACCAUCUUCAUCAAUCAUCAUUCUUCUGUUGUAUAUAUAUAUGUAUAUAUACAUACAUCUUUGUCAAUAAGUUCUAUCAUU